This 500-nucleotide ribosomal RNA is filed under the name uncultured Glomeromycotina. RNAcentral describes it as "partial small subunit ribosomal RNA". It matches the Rfam family "Eukaryotic small subunit ribosomal RNA", at positions 591 to 1092 of the family's 1831-position model. The record is from RNAcentral. Lineage: Eukaryota; Fungi; Glomeromycota.
CCAAUAGCGUAUAUUAAAGUUGUUGCAGUUAAAAAGCUCGUAGUUGAAUUUCGGGGUUAGUAGGUUGGUUAUGCCUCUGGUAUGUACUGGUCUCACUGAUUCCUCCUUCCUGAUGAGCCGUAAUGCCAUUAAUUUGGUGUUGCGGGGAAUUUGGACUGUUACUUUGAAAAAAUUAGAGUGUUUAAAGCAAGCUAACGCUUGAAUACAUUAGCAUGGAAUAAUGAAAUAGGACGUUCGAUCCUAUUUUGUUGGUUUCUAGGAUUGACGUAAUGAUUAAUAGGGAUAGUUGGGGGCAUUAGUAUUCAAUUGUCAGAGGUGAAAUUCUUGGAUUUAUUGAAGACUAACUACUGCGAAAGCAUUUGCCAAGGAUGUUUUCAUUAAUCAAGAACGAAAGUUAGGGGAUCGAAGACGAUCAGAUACCGUCGUAGUCUUAACCAUAAACUAUGCCGACUAGGGAUCGGAUGAUGUUAAUUUUUUAAUGACUCAUUCGGCGCCUUACG